AAUUUGUGUAAAGCCCUUAGAACAGAGCUAGGUAUUAAUAGUAGAGAAUCUUGGCAGGUAUUACUGAUGAUUACUGCAGUGGACAAGCUCCAUACAGGCAGGGGCAUUUCUGUUUGUUUAGAUUUGUAUGCAGGGUGCUUGGCACAUGGAUGGUGCUCAGGAAAUAUUUGUUGGAUGAAUUAAUGAAGUGGAGAUAAUCAUAAUACCAUGUUUAUAGAAUUCCAUGAGGAUAUAAAAUAAUGUAAGUAUAUAAGUUCUUGGUAGCAUGUCUAGCUCAUAGUAGGUGGUCAAUAAAUAUUCAAUGCCUGAAUGAGGAAAAUGGGGACAAUAGUAAUACCAGCUUAGGAGGUUGUUGUGGGGAUCUAAGAUAACCCUGUAUUACCUUGUAGAGUGCCUAGCACAUAGUAGGUGCUCAGAAAAUACUUGUUGAAUGAAUGAGUGAAGUGGGGAUGACGGUAACACCAGCUCCUAGGGUUGCUGUGGGAACAGAAGAUAAGACAGGCCGAUAGCUUACUGUAUUGUGGUUGCACCUGGUAGACACUCUGUUGAGUGAAAUGAGAGGAGCUGCUAUGAGUUUCUUUCUCCUGGGGCUUAGGAGAGAAUCCUUUUGGGGUACAGAAUGGUAUGGAGUGGACACCGGUCCUCUUGAAGGAAGAAUGGGCAGCUGACUACUCCUUGGCAAGCUCUGACCUGGAUGAAAAGUUGAAUCGUUUCUUUCCCUCUUCCUCCCUAACCUGUUCUUUCUUUCCAUUAGAAUCCUUGCCCAGCAUCCAGCACUUCCUUCCUGUCCAGGAUCACCUUCUGGUGGAUCACAGGGUUGAUCAUCCGGGGCUACCACCAGCCCCUGGAGAGCAGUGGCCUCUGGUCCUUAAAGGAGGAGGACACAUUGGAACAAGUCAUGCCUGUUUUGGUAAAGAACUGGAAGAAGAAAUGCACCAAGCCUAGGAAGUAAGUUGGAUGACGAGUAUUUGUUCAGCACCUGCUGUGCACUGUUUUAUGUAAUGAGGAUACAGCAGCCCACCUGGAGCUGACAUUCUAGUGGGGAAAGAAAGGGUCAUGGACAUCAGCGGUCCAGGGAAGAAAACAAAGCAAAUGGAGAACGGCAUGCUGUGACAGACAGUGCGGGGAAGCAACUACAGAGAUAGCUCAGCAGCUCCUCCUCCUAUAGCGGGGACAUCAGUAGGCACCAUAACAGCACCACAGAGCUGCAGAAAGCCAAAACCAAGAAGGAGGAGACUUGGAAGCUGAUGGAGGCCAACACGGCACAGACAGGGCAGGUGAGAUUUGCUCCUUCAGUGAUGAUGGUGGCUGUAGCUUACAGAGCACCCACUGUGCAAAGUGCUUAUCUAUAAUACACCAUAAAGGUACUAUUUACUGCACCAGAAACUGAGGCCAGAGAGGUUUUAGUGACUUACCCAAGGUCACUGCUUUUCGGGGAUACAGACACUCACUACCACGCCUAGAUAAUUUUUGUCUUUAGUAGAGACAGGAUUUCACCAUGUUGGCUAGGCUGGUCUUGAACUCCUGGUCUCAUCUUCCCUCACCCUCCCAAAAUGCUAGGAUUACAGGUGUGAGCCAUUGCACCUGGCCUGUUUUUCAUUUCUCAUUUAGUCCUUAUGAUUAUGUCCCUGAGAAAGUCUCAGUUGGGUCCUAGGCUGCUUUUGGUACCUAACAGCUGCUAGCCUCUCUUUGUAACAAGAAGAGUGGGUUUCAAGCUCCUGUUUUGUUUUUUUUAUUUUUUAAAGAUCAUCUAUUUUGGGCAAGUGUUAAUAAUUCUUCAUUUAUGAUAGUGAUCCAAAGUUUAUUUAAAAAAAUAAAUGUGAUUAUAUUUCUUAAAAAAUAGGGAAUGGAAUUUUUAAUGGUAAAAAAUAAGCAUACAGAUAAAGAAAAACAACAAACCCAUGAAAAGUGGUAGCAGGGGAAUGAGGCUGGGACACUUUCUUUUAGAUCUGCUCUAUUGUCAUAAUUAAAAGAACUAGAGGAGCAAGAUCAAACAAAUUCAAAUGCUAGAGGAAGACAAAUAACUAAGUUCAGAGCAGCACUGAAGGAGAUAGAGACACA
Long non-coding RNA from Sapajus apella (tufted capuchin), 2061 nucleotides. RefSeq lists it as uncharacterized. The record is from RefSeq and is a predicted model, not a curated record. The transcript has 5 exons. Lineage: Eukaryota; Metazoa; Chordata; Mammalia; Primates; Cebidae.